Molecule: ribosomal RNA, 468 nt
Filed under: uncultured Acidobacteriota bacterium
Lineage: Bacteria; Pseudomonadati; Acidobacteriota
Description: bacterial SSU rRNA
Rfam family: Bacterial small subunit ribosomal RNA
Source: RNAcentral
CAGGCCUAACACAUGCAAGUCGAACGAGAAAGUGGAGCAAUCCAUGAGUAAAGUGGCGACCGGGUGAGUAACACGUGACUAACCUACCUUCGAGUGGGGGAUAACCUAGGGAAACCUGGGCUAAUACCGCAUAACAUCUUUGGAUCGGAAGAACUGAAGAUCAAAGGAGCAAUUCGCUUGAAGAGGGGGUCGCGGCUGAUUAGCUAGUUGGCGGGGUAAUGGCCCACCAAGGCUUUGAUCGGUAGCCGGCCUGAGAGGGCGCACGGCCACACUGGAACUGAAACACGGUCCAGACUCCUACGGGAGGCAGCAGUGGGGAAUUUUGCGCAAUGGGGGAAACCCUGACGCAGCAACGCCGCGUGGAGGAUGAAGUCCCUUGGGACGUAAACUCCUUUCGACCGGGACGAUUAUGACGGUACCGGUGGAAGAAGCCCCGGCUAACUUCGUGCCAGCAGCCGCGGUAAUACA